RNAcentral lists this ribosomal RNA (118 nucleotides) under Lachnospiraceae bacterium. The record is from RNAcentral. Lineage: Bacteria; Bacillati; Bacillota; Clostridia; Lachnospirales; Lachnospiraceae.
UCUGGUUACGAUACGUUUGAGGGAAACACCCGUUCCCAUUCCGAACACGAUGGUUAAGCCUCAUUCGGCCGACAAUUCUACGCUGGUAACGGCGUGGUAAGAUAGGUGGUAGCCAGUU